GAUGAAGAACGUAGCGAAAUGCGAUAAGUAAUGUGAAUUGCAGAAUUCAGUGAAUCAUCGAAUCUUUGAACGCACAUUGCGCCCGCCAGUAUUCUGGCGGGCAUGCCUGUCUGAGCGUCAUUUCAACCCUCAUGCCCCUAGGGCGUGGUGUUGGGGAUCGGCCAAAGCCCGCGAGGGACGGCCGGCCCCUAAAUCUAGAGGCGGACCCGUCGUGGCCUCCUCUGCGAAGUAGUGAUAUUCCGCAUCGGAGAGCGAUGAGCCCCUGCCGUUAAACCCCCAACUUUCCAAGGUUGACCUCAGAUCAGGUAGGAAUACCCGCUGAACUUAAGCAUAUCAAUAAGCGGAGGA
This 348-nucleotide unclassified non-coding RNA is filed under the name soil metagenome. RNAcentral's name for it is "partial contains 5.8S ribosomal RNA, internal transcribed spacer 2, and large subunit ribosomal RNA". The stretch from base 1 to 120 matches the Rfam family "5.8S ribosomal RNA", at positions 35 to 154 of the family's 154-position model. The record is from RNAcentral.